AAGAAGCAUAAUUUUUUUUUGUUUCGUUGCCUUGUGUGCCAAAGACCACAGAAGAAAACAUAAAAAAAAACUAGCUUCGACAUCUACAAAUAGAUGCUAUUAUCUUCUGUCUGUCAAGUGACCAACACUACAUUGACUUGUUGUUUGUGCAUUAAAAAAAAAAAAAGAAGAAAUAAAAAAACACACAAACGUGUCGAGUUGGCAAAAAGUAAUUAAAAAAACCUCCGUUUUACAAUUUGCCACUCAAUGCUAAAUAAACUCAGCAAUACACAAACGAAAAUAGGUAUGUAUACAGAAAGUAAGGAGAGACGGGAACGAAAAAGAAUGACGGAGAAUACGGCAAAGGCGGGAUAUGAAAAGCACGAGGUAAAGAAAUGUGCAAGCAACUUUUACUCAGUGUUGCCAACGGUACAAAAACCCUCAAAUACACACUAUCGGAUGUCUACUGACGUCACCUUUUGGUUUAAUCAAAUCACUAUAGGUCUCCCAAACAGAAUUGGACUUCUUAAAACCCUACACAUGGAUUGUUGAACCACACAACAACGGAUUGCUGCUACAGGCAGGGGGUGUUGGUGGUGAUAAGUGGUUUGCUUAUCACCCUGGCCUUUGAAAGACGGUCCAACAAACGCACAAACUCACACGUUUGGCAAACAUACGAACCAACAACCAAAAGAGAAAAUGCGAUAGGGUACAUUCAACCAAAUUUAGUGUAGAGAAAAACAUGAUAAUCGCGAAUAAGAGAGGCAAGAAAUGAAAGAAAUAUUUCAAAAUGGAUGACAAAAUCAGAUGUAGAUAAGUAUGUAUGUAUGUAUAUGUAGUAAAAGCCAAUUUUUUUCUACAUACAUAUGGUUUAAGAAAAAAUUAAAUAAAGAAAUAUACAUUUUCUACUUA
Molecule: long non-coding RNA, 891 nt
Organism: Stomoxys calcitrans (stable fly)
Lineage: Eukaryota; Metazoa; Arthropoda; Insecta; Diptera; Muscidae
Exons: 2
Source: RefSeq, a predicted model, not a curated record